ACGAACGCUGGCGGCAUGCCUAACACAUGCAAGUCGAACGAGACCUUCGGGUCUAGUGGCGCACGGGUGCGUAACGCGUGGGAACCUGCCCUUAGGUUCGGAAUAACUCCCCGAAAGGGGUGCUAAUACCGGAUAAUGUCUUCGGACCAAAGAUUUAUCGCCUUUGGAUGGGCCCGCGUUGGAUUAGCUAGUUGGUAGGGUAAAAGCCUACCAAGGCGACGAUCCAUAGCUGGUCUGAGAGGAUGAUCAGCCACACUGGGACUGAGACACGGCCCAGACUCCUACGGGAGGCAGCAGUGGGGAAUAUUGGACAAUGGGCGAAAGCCUGAUCCAGCAAUGCCGCGUGAGUGAUGAAGGCCUUAGGGUUGUAAAGCUCUCUUACCCGGGAUGAUAAUGACAGUACCGGGAGAAUAAGCUCCGGCUAACUCCGUG
RNAcentral lists this ribosomal RNA (432 nucleotides) under uncultured bacterium. RNAcentral describes it as "partial 16S ribosomal RNA". It matches the Rfam family "Bacterial small subunit ribosomal RNA", at positions 29 to 507 of the family's 1533-position model. The record is from RNAcentral.